This 352-nucleotide transfer-messenger RNA is filed under the name Planctomycetota. RNAcentral's name for it is "JAEUHS01 sp016794035 Standard tmRNA". It matches the Rfam family "transfer-messenger RNA". From Rfam's summary of the family: Bacterial tmRNA, also known as 10Sa RNA or SsrA, is named for its dual tRNA and mRNA-like properties. The record is from RNAcentral. RNAcentral also lists the same sequence under 1 other name. Lineage: Bacteria; Pseudomonadati.
GGGGGCGAUCGGUUUCGACCGGAUGCCGACUCGACCUGGGUGGCGCGCCGAGGGCCGGGCACCUCGUGAAUCCGACCGGAAACAACCAAGUGCCAACACGCACUACUCCCUCGCUGCCUAAGAACUAGGUAUCGAGCGCCGAGGUCUCUUCGCCCGCGGGAGGCCAAGGCGACACACAGCGGGCUGGUCACCGGCGGCUGCUCGGCCCGCCGGUGACGAGACACAGUCGAGCUGGCUGCGGGUGAUCCUGUUCGUCGGAGCCCCUGCGGCGACACCAAUAGACGCACUACGCGCGUAGAGGCCCAGGACGGAGCAUCUCGGGACGCGGGUUCGAUUCCCGCCGCCUCCACCA